CCCGGGAUGCCCCAGCACAAGCAGAGAGGGUGGAGCAGGGCAGGAGUCUCUUUUUAUGUGGGAACAAAGAAAAGAUCCUCAUGGUAGAACCUAUUAUGUGGAUCAUAAUACUCGAACUACCACAUGGGAGAGACCACAACCUUUACCUCCAGGUUGGGAAAGAAGAGUUGAUGAUCGUGGAAGAGUUUAUUAUGUGGAUCAUAACACCAGAACAACAACGUGGCAGCGGCCUACCAUGGAAUCUGUCCGAAAUUUUGAACAGUGGCAAUCUCAGCGGAACCAAUUGCAGGGAGCUAUGCAACAGUUUAACCAACGAUACCUCUAUUCGGCUUCGAUGUUAGCUGCAGAAAAUGACCCUUAUGGACCUUUGCCACCAGGCUGGGAAAAAAGAGUGGAUUCAACAGACAGGGUUUACUUUGUGAAUCAUAACACAAAAACAACCCAGUGGGAAGAUCCAAGAACUCAAGGCUUACAGAAUGAAGAACCCCUGCCAGAAGGCUGGGAAAUUAGAUAUACUCG
RNAcentral lists this small RNA (519 nucleotides) under Pongo abelii (Sumatran orangutan). RNAcentral describes it as "processed transcript". Lineage: Eukaryota; Metazoa; Chordata; Mammalia; Primates; Hominidae. The record is from RNAcentral.